This 400-nucleotide transfer-messenger RNA is filed under the name Bacteroides sp. It matches the Rfam family "transfer-messenger RNA". Rfam says of the family: Bacterial tmRNA, also known as 10Sa RNA or SsrA, is named for its dual tRNA and mRNA-like properties. Its role is to liberate the mRNA from a stalled ribosome. To accomplish this part of the tmRNA is used as a reading frame that ends in a translation stop signal. The record is from RNAcentral. RNAcentral also lists the same sequence under 2 other names. Lineage: Bacteria; Pseudomonadati; Bacteroidota; Bacteroidia; Bacteroidales; Bacteroidaceae.
GGGGCUGACCGGUUUUGACAGCGUGUAGAAGUGGUGUGUAAGCAUGCAGAGCCAUGAUGUAAGGUGCUCUUUAAACCCCGACAUCGACUUUUUUAAAUGGCGAAAACAACUACGCUCUUGCUGCUUAAUCGAAGCAUAGUAGAUUAGCUUAAUCGCCGCAACAGUUGCAGCGACAAGACAUCGCCCGAUUGUCCUGGUCCCGAGACUAAUCGACAAGGCGGUGCAGAUAAAUCGGGAAUAGCGCGGUUCACUCCCCGAGGACAGCGCGAAAUUCAGGGGAUAAGGAAUCGGUUGGUGGUUUCUUGCCUGCCGACUCACGAAAACCAAGUAGAAACUAAGCAUGUAGAAAGCACAUUAGUUCCGCGUUUGGACGAGGGUUCGAAUCCCUCCAGCUCCACUU